Molecule: small RNA, 270 nt
Filed under: Oryza sativa Japonica Group (Japanese rice)
Lineage: Eukaryota; Viridiplantae; Streptophyta; Magnoliopsida; Poales; Poaceae
Description: sRNA Os03g0730875
Source: RNAcentral
CCCUUGGUUGGAUCCACGCCGAACGCCGCGAGCACCUGCGACGAACCAGAUCCAUGAGACGGGGGGCAACAGCGGACGCUGGCGCGGAGAGGUGGUGGUGGGAGGCGGAGACGCGGAAGGGCUCCUUACCUCGGCCACGGACUUGGCGUAGGCGUCCUCCAUGGUCGACCGCCGCCAGCGACGACGACGAUGACGACGGCGCGCGCGGCCUCCGGGGAGUGUGAACUCCGGAGGAGAGAGAGAUGGGAGAGGGGGAGACAGAUCGCGGCU